CGAGUGGCGGACGGGUGAGUAAUGUCUGGGAAACUGCCCGAUGGAGGGGGAUAACUACUGAAAACGGUAGCUAAUACCGCAUAACGUCGCAAGACCAAAGAGGGGACCUUCGGGCCUCUUGCCAUCGGAUGUGCCCAGAUGGGAUUAGCUAGUAGGUGGGGUAAUGGCUCACCUAGGCGACGAUCCCUAGCUGGUCUGAGAGGUUGACCAGCCACACUGGAACUGAGACACGGUCCAG
Molecule: ribosomal RNA, 238 nt
Filed under: uncultured bacterium
Lineage: Bacteria
Description: partial 16S ribosomal RNA
Rfam family: Bacterial small subunit ribosomal RNA
Source: RNAcentral